This 71-nucleotide transfer RNA is filed under the name Sardinella albella (white sardinella). RNAcentral describes it as "tRNA-Tyr". It matches the Rfam family "tRNA". Rfam says of the family: Transfer RNA (tRNA) molecules are approximately 80 nucleotides in length. Their secondary structure includes four short double-helical elements and three loops (D, anti-codon, and T loops). RNAcentral also lists the same sequence under 1 other name. Lineage: Eukaryota; Metazoa; Chordata; Actinopteri; Clupeiformes; Clupeidae. The record is from RNAcentral.
GGUAGGAUGGCCGAGAGCCUAGGUGGCGGAUUGUAGCUCCGAGGACAGAGGUUUAAGUCCUCUUCUUACCA